Molecule: ribosomal RNA, 253 nt
Filed under: uncultured bacterium
Lineage: Bacteria
Description: partial 16S ribosomal RNA
Rfam family: Bacterial small subunit ribosomal RNA
Source: RNAcentral
UACGUAGGGUGCAAGCGUUGUCCGGAAUUAUUGGGCGUAAAGAGCUUGUAGGCGGUUUGUCGCGUCUGCCGUGAAAAUUCGAGGCUCAACCUCGAACUUGCGGUGGGUACGGGCAGACUAGAGUGUGGUAGGGGAGACUGGAAUUCCUGGUGUAGCGGUGAAAUGCGCAGAUAUCAGGAGGAACACCGAUGGCGAAGGCAGGUCUCUGGGCCACUACUGACGCUGAGAAGCGAAAGCAUGGGGAGCGAACAGG